GCAAACUUGGUCAUUUAGAGGAAGUAAAAGUCGUAACAAGGUUUCCGUAGGUGAACCUGCGGAAGGAUCAUUAUUGAGUAAACCUGGCUUGCUGAUGCUGGUCUCUCCGGAGGCAUGUGCUCGCUUGUCAUCUUUAUAUCUCCACCUGUGCACACUUUGUAGAACUGGUAGAGCUUUUGUCUCCCUAGGGAGGAUGUGGGACUGCUGUGCGUCUUUGCUAUGCCGGCUUUCCUUGGGUUCUUUCCAGGGCUAUGUUUUUUUUUCACAUACACCUUUGAAAUGUAAAAGAAUGCAUCACUAGGUCUUUGAACCUAUAAAACAAUAUACAACUUUCAGCAACGGAUCUCUUGGCUCUCGCAUCGAUGAAGAACGCAGC
RNAcentral lists this unclassified non-coding RNA (376 nucleotides) under uncultured fungus. RNAcentral's name for it is "partial contains small subunit ribosomal RNA, internal transcribed spacer 1, and 5.8S ribosomal RNA". The stretch from base 1 to 73 matches the Rfam family "Eukaryotic small subunit ribosomal RNA", at positions 1759 to 1831 of the family's 1831-position model. The record is from RNAcentral. Lineage: Eukaryota; Fungi.